CUACCAUUAAAUCGCAAUUUUACAAUAAGUCUAAACCCCAAAAAAAAUUAUCAAUUUGAAACUUACCAAUGAAAGUCGUAUUUCCCCCUUUCUUUACCCUACAAUAAACUUUCCUAGGAUCCGUGGAUUGCGGAACAUCGUCCACAUCUAAAACGUUCACGUAAAUUAAUGACGUCAUGUGUUAAAACAGUUAUUGGCCAAUCAAAUCGGUAUAUAGAAUUUAAUCUGCACGCGCUCAGGAUGACCCUUUAACCCGAACUUCUACGUCGUUCGGGUUAAUAAGGGUCACCUGAGCUGUGCAGAUUAAAUUCUAUAUACCGACUUGCUUGGUCAAUAACUAUAACUUA
RNAcentral lists this long non-coding RNA (347 nucleotides) under Mytilus galloprovincialis (Mediterranean mussel). Lineage: Eukaryota; Metazoa; Mollusca; Bivalvia; Mytilida; Mytilidae. The record is from RNAcentral.